Molecule: long non-coding RNA, 2134 nt
Organism: Bombus huntii
Lineage: Eukaryota; Metazoa; Arthropoda; Insecta; Hymenoptera; Apidae
Exons: 2
Source: RefSeq, a predicted model, not a curated record
CGUUGCCUCACGGUAAAAAUUCGCUGCUGUGUAGAGAUUGAUGUAUGCAUUAAAGGAAGGAUGGCUUUAGACAGUUUUGUUCAGAUAUACCCAGAGGACAGAGGAUGGAGAAAGAUCGUAGACAAAUGUUUUUUGCAUGGUUUUAAGAAGUUAAAUGUCUAUUGUGGGUUUUUUUGUCAAACCGUUUGUUGCCCUUGCGGAGUUCUUUGUAAGCAGAAUGGUAGGUGAAACUCUUUUAAUGUCUGUGAGAAGACAGUUUGAAAUAAUGUACGAAGAGUAAAAUUUUGUGCUACGUGGGGCACUUAUUAGGCACCUUGAGCGAAAGAUGGAAUCUAUGACAAGUACGUUUACCUUUUACAUUCAAUUACAAAGUACACAUAUGAAUUCUAUUGUCAACUAAAAAAAUUACAAUUACCAAUAGCGACGUAGUGACGAUGUAAUACAAUAAUCAAACUGUUGUAAUGCUAGUAAAGCAGCGAUUGAAGUUACAUCUGUUCCUUUUAAUCGUAACUUCCUGUCAGAAAUACAUUAUCAAAUUUCAUUAAGAAUUAUGAAGAUAAAAUUUGACACUACCAUUAGUGACUAUAUAGUACAAUAACCAGGUGUGUCAUAAUGGUAUUAAGGAACAUAAUUAAAGCUACAUCCGUUCCUUUUAAUCGUAACACCCGCCCAGAAACAUAAUAUUUCAAGUGAAAUCGUAGCUGAAUUCCACUCCAUUUUCAUCUUUUGCUCUCAUUUUCACGACAGACAUAACAAUGACUCGGCUUCUGUGAGUCCCACUAGGACAGCACACGGCUGGUGCGCGGUGCGAGUGCGAAUGUCAGAGUUGUAAAUCCGUUUCCCGUCGAUCUCGACGCCAGGGCCGAGGUCAACCAGCAGCAGGACACAGUCGACUCGAUGACUCUCUCCUUUCUGUUUUUAUUCACUCGCUGGGAUCCUUGCCAGCGGAUUCUAUGUCUCGAAGAAGAUCACAGCUAUCGCGGCAAAAUAGCCUCGUUACUAACCGCGAUCCUCUUGCGUGGCUAUUCAAUGACUCUGCUAAAUACCUCGAUUAUUACACUGUGUUUCGUAUGUUCAUUUAUGUUCUCAAAAGUGGUGCGAAAAUUAUAUCAUGAAAUACCUUAUCAAUGAAUGUAUUGCAAGCAUGUGCAUACAUAUCGCUUCCUCGAAUUAAUGGGUUGACACGACUCAAGAAAUACAAAUUUUUAAUUUUUAAUCGAGAGACGGUUGCGAAUCCAAAAUACAAACAGUCGUGUACUUACAAUUGCAAAGUACUACUCAAUGUAGUAAUUACAGUAAGUAAAUGACAAUCACAGCAUGGCCAAGUAGCGCUUUUUAAAAAUGCUCUAUCUCCUUUUAUUUUAAAGGCUACCGAAAUGAAACUUCGAAGACACGUAAUUUAUUUCGAGACUACAUAGACGUGUCUCGAAACUAAGAAAACGGGAAUUUAAAAGUGACAGAAAUAAAUGGAGGAGACGAUGACUCUGAACGAUUGAGUCAGUUUUAAAUUCCACCAUGAAUAAUCGGUCACGCAGCGUAUGCAUCAAAUGCUAGGAGCAUUUAACUUCGUCCGCAUUUCAGUGGAACAGGGAAUUUCUCCGAAUACACGAGACAUUGACCUUGCGUUUACAGUCAUCGUGGAUCUGGGCUGCGCUCAAGCAUGCUUUCUCCACAAGAAUUUCAUGUCCGCCGACGAUGCUGACUGGUAGACAACAUUGAGAGUACAAGCUGACGUCACGUGCAGCGUUGCGCGUAGCGUUACGUAAAAAAACGUGGCUGACGAAUCAGAAACGCAUCGUUCUAUUACUGUUAAGGCCGUGUGAUGAAUCGGCUACGCGGUAAAGUAUAUAAUGGACUUAGCGUGGGUUCAUUACGAUGAAAAAUAACUGGCAUUGGGAGUUAUUUUACAACUGUAAUCCGAUACAAAGAUAAUGUAUCCUCGAAGAUAUGCUUCGAGUGUGAAAUAAUUGUAACGAAACGAGUCGAGUCGUAGUAAUUUGUGAAAUAAUUCGCUUCCUUUUUCAAAUAUAUUCCCGAUAAAAAUACACAGGUUCACAAAAGUGUUCAAACACUUAUGGAUACCUUUUAUGAGUAUAUUAUAUGUAUUGUAUGAAACAUUUUACAAUUUCAUUAG